RNAcentral lists this ribosomal RNA (502 nucleotides) under uncultured bacterium. RNAcentral's name for it is "partial 16S ribosomal RNA". It matches the Rfam family "Bacterial small subunit ribosomal RNA", at positions 28 to 507 of the family's 1533-position model. The record is from RNAcentral.
GACGAACGCUGGCGGCGUGCCUAAUACAUGCAGGUCGAACGAACCGCGACUGAGUGCUUGCACUUGGUCAAGGUGAGUGGCGAACGGGUGAGUAACACGUGGGUAACCUACCUCAUAGUGGGGGAUAACAGUCGGAAACGACUGCUAAUACCGCAUAGGACAUGGAAUCACAUGAUUCUGUGAGGAAAGGUGGCGCAAGCUAUCGCUAAGAGAUGGACCCGCGGUGCAUUAGCUAGUUGGUAGGGUAAGGGCCUACCAAGGCGAUGAUGCAUAGCCGACCUGAGAGGGUGAUCGGCCACAUUGGGACUGAGACACGGCCCAAACUCCUACGGGAGGCAGCAGUAGGGAAUCUUCCGCAAUGGACGCAAGUCUGACGGAGCAACGCCGCGUGAGUGAAGAAGGUCUUCGGAUCGUAAAGCUCUGUUGUUAGAGAAGAACAGCGCAUAGAGUAACUGUUAUGCGUGUGACGGUAUCUAACCAGAAAGCCACGGCUAACUACGUG